Molecule: ribosomal RNA, 468 nt
Filed under: uncultured bacterium
Lineage: Bacteria
Description: partial 16S ribosomal RNA
Rfam family: Bacterial small subunit ribosomal RNA
Source: RNAcentral
GACGAACGCUGGCGGCGUGCUUAACACAUGCAAGUCGAACGGAAAGGCCCUGCUUUUGUGGGGUGCUCGAGUGGCGAAAGGGUGAGUAACACGUGAGUAACCUGCCCUUGACUUUGGGAUAACUUCAGGAAACUGGGGCUAAUACCGGAUAGGAGCUCCUGCUGCAUGGGGGGGGUUGGAAAGUUUCGGCGGUUGGGGAUGGACUCGCGGCUUAUCAGCUUGUUGGUGGGGUAGUGGCUUACCAAGGCUUUGACGGGUAGCCGGCCUGAGAGGGUGACCGGCCACAAUGGUACUGAGAUACGGCCCAGACUCCUACGGGAGGCAGCAGUGGGGAAUAUUGCACAACGGGCGGAAGCCUGAUGCAGCAACGCCGCGUGCGGGAUGACGGCCUUCGGGUUGUAAACCGCUUUCGCCUGUGACGAAGCGUGAGUGACGGUAACGGGUAAAGAAGCACCGGCUAACUACGUG